AGUGAGCGCUGGCGGUAGGCCUAACACAUGCAAGUCGAACGGCAGCACAGUAAGAGCUUGCUCUUACGGGUGGCGAGUGGCGGACGGGUGAGGAAUACAUCGGAAUCUACUUUUUCGUGGGGGAUCACGUAGGGAAACUUACGCUAAUACCGCAUAUGACCUACGGGUGAAAGCAGGGGAUCUUCGGACCUUGCGCGAUUGAAUGAGCCGAUGUCGGAUUAGCUAGUUGGCGGGGUAAAGGCCCACCAAGGCGACGAUCCGUAGCUGGUCUGAGAGGAUGAUCAGCCACACUGGAACUGAGACACGGUCCUGACUCCUACGGGAGGCAGCAGUGGGGAAUAUUGGACAAUGGGCGGAAGCCUGAUCCAGCCAUACCGCGUGGGUGAAGAAGGCCUUCGGGUUGUAAAGCCCUUUUGUUGGGAAAGAAAAGCAGCAGGUUAAUACCCCGCUGUUCUGACGGUACCCAAAGAAUAAGCACCGGCUAACUUCGUG
This 492-nucleotide ribosomal RNA is filed under the name uncultured bacterium. RNAcentral's name for it is "partial 16S ribosomal RNA". It matches the Rfam family "Bacterial small subunit ribosomal RNA", at positions 29 to 507 of the family's 1533-position model. The record is from RNAcentral.